AGGGUCUGUUACCUCACUGCUAAUUUCCCUAGCAAAUAAACCAGCAGCUGCUGGUCCAAGUUACCACCGAGAACAGGGCACUGCAUGCAUGGGACAGGAUGCUUUCAUGGAGCCCUUCGGUGACACACUUGGGGUCUUUCAGUGCAAAAUAUACCUCCUUCUCUUCGGUGCUUGCUCGGGGCUGAAGGUGACAGUGCCAUCACACACUGUCCAUGGCGUCAGAGGUCAGGCCCUCUACCUACCCGUCCACUAUGGCUUCCACACUCCAGCAUCAGACAUCCAGAUCAUAUGGCUAUUUGAGAGACCCCACACGAUGCCCAAAUACUUACUGGGCUCUGUGAAUAAGUCUGUGGUUCCUGACUUGGAAUACCAACACAAGUUCACCAUGAUGCCACCCAAUGCAUCUCUGCUUAUCAACCCACUGCAGUUCCCUGAUGAAGGCAAUUACAUCGUGAAGGUCAACAUUCAGGGAAAUGGAACUCUAUCUGCCAGUCAGAAGAUACAAGUCACGGUUGAUGAUCCUGUCACAAAGCCAGUGGUGCAGAUUCAUCCUCCCUCUGGGGCUGUGGAGUAUGUGGGGAACAUGACCCUGACAUGCCAUGUGGAAGGGGGCACUCGGCUAGCUUACCAAUGGCUAAAAAAUGGGAGACCUGUCCACACCAGCUCCACCUACUCCUUUUCUCCCCAAAACAAUACCCUUCAUAUUGCUCCAGUAACCAAGGAAGACAUUGGGAAUUACAGCUGCCUGGUGAGGAACCCUGUCAGUGAAACGGAAAGUGAUAUCAUUAUGCCCAUCAUAUAUUAUGGACCUUAUGGACUUCAAGUGAAUUCUGAUAAAGGGCUAAAAGUAGGGGAAGUGUUUACUGUUGACCUUGGAGAGGCCAUCCUAUUUGAUUGUUCUGCUGAUUCUCAUCCUCCCAACACCUACUCCUGGAUUAGGAGGACUGACAAUACUACAUAUAUCAUUAAGCAUGGGCCUCGCUUAGAAGUUGCAUCUGAGAAAGUAGCCCAGAAGACAAUGGACUAUGUGUGCUGUGCUUACAACAACAUAACCGGCAGGCAAGAUGAAACUCAUUUCACAGUUAUCAUCACUUCCGUAGGACUGGAGAAGCUUGCACAGAAAGGAAAAUCAUUGUCACCUUUAGCAAGUAUAACUGGAAUAUCACUAUUUUUGAUUAUAUCCAUGUGUCUUCUCUUCCUAUGGAAAAAAUAUCAACCCUACAAAGUUAUAAAACAGAAACUAGAAGGCAGGCCAGAAACAGAAUACAGGAAAGCUCAAACAUUUUCAGGCCAUGAAGAUGCUCUGGAUGACUUCGGAAUAUAUGAAUUUGUUGCUUUUCCAGAUGCUUCUGGUGUUUCCAGGUACUGCCAGCUUUCUUCUUAAAUGAAGAAAAAAUCCAUAGCUUUGUCAAGCUAUCCUUCUUCUGACCUUAUAGCUAUGCUGCUGCGCAAACUGCCAUAGGAUCCCAAGCAGGUCUGUUCCAGCCUCUGAUUGUGUAUCGGGGCAAGAUUUGCACAGUACAGUGUAUGAAGUUAUUCAGCACAUCCCUGCCCAGCAGCAAGACCAUCCAGAGUGAACUUUCAUGGGCUAAACAGUACAUUUGAGUGAAAUUCUGAAGAAACAUUUUAAGGAAAAACAGUGGAAAAGUAUAUUAAUCUGGAAUCAGUGAAGAAACCAAGACCAACACCUCUUCCUCAUUAUUCCUUUACAUGCAGAAUAGAGGCAUUUAUGCAAAUUGAACUGCAGGUUUUUCGGCAUAUACACAACGUCUUGUGCAACAGAAAAACAUGUUGGGGAAAUAUUCCUCAGUGGAGAGUCGUUCUCAUGCUGACGGGGAGAACGAAAGUGACAGGGGUUUCCUCAUAACGUUUGUAUGAAAUAUCUCUACAAACCUCAAUUAGUUCUACUCUACACUUUCACUAUCAUCAACACUGAGACUAUCCUGUCUCACCUACAAAUGUGGAAACUUUACGUUGUUCGAUUUUUCAGCAGACUUUGUUUUAUUAAAUUUUUAUUAGUGUUAAGAAUGCUAAAUUUAUGUUUCAAUUUUAUUUCCAAAUUUCUAUCUUGUUAUUUGUACAACAAAGUAAUAAGGAUGGUUGUCACAAAAACAAAACUAUGCCUUCUCUUUUUUUUCAAUCACCAGUAGUAUUUUUGAGAAGACUUGUGAACACUUAAGGAAAUGACUAUUAAAGUCUUAUUUUUAUUUUUUUCAAGGAAAGAUGGAUUCAAAUAAAUUAUUCUGUUUUUGCUUUUA
Molecule: RNA transcript, 2258 nt
Organism: Pan troglodytes (chimpanzee)
Lineage: Eukaryota; Metazoa; Chordata; Mammalia; Primates; Hominidae
Gene: HEPACAM2
Gene name: HEPACAM family member 2
Exons: 11
Source: RefSeq, a predicted model, not a curated record